UUCUUUUAUUUCCUCUCAUUCUCGCCGUUCUCUCUUAUCUCCCCGACGCCGCCGAGCCUUCUCCUCCUCCUUGCCCUAACCGCCGGCCGACGGUUUCUUCUUCCCGAACGCCGGCGACCGGUUCAUUGCCGGAGCCCUAGCACCGCCUGCCCGAGCAAAACUCCUCUCCUCUGCUUGCCCUAGCCACCCGACGCCACCACAGCGCGUCUGUGCCCAGUGCCGGCGCCACCGUGGACCACUCGGUGCCCUAGCCACCCGGCGCCGCCCGACCACCUUCUUCUCUUCUCCUCUCCUCUGCCGCCACCACAGAGCCGACGCCGACCUUGUGAGCCGACGCCGACUGUCGGCCCUCUUUCUGAUUUUCGUGACAGUGAGCCCUAGCGCCGAUUUUUCUUCUCCUCUUCCGAGUUUAGGUUGCCUCCAAGUUGUGCUGUUCGGGGGAGUUAGUAAUUAGGGUUUGCUGUUGGUUGUCUUGGCUUCGGCAGCCAUUUUCCAGCGGCUACCUUUCUCUGGUAGCAACUUCCCUGCUGUGGGUGAGUGUAGGGGAAUCUUGAAGAGAAGUUUUACUGUAAGUUUUCUUGGAUUUGGCAGCUACUUUCAUCCAGCAGCAAGGAACCGCUGUGGAGGUUAAGGACCUUGACGCGAGACGAGUAUCUCGGAGUCAGAUUGGACCUUUCUAUUUUCGGAGGCGGG
Long non-coding RNA from Zingiber officinale, 693 nucleotides. RefSeq lists it as uncharacterized. The transcript is spliced from 3 exons. The record is from RefSeq and is a predicted model, not a curated record. Lineage: Eukaryota; Viridiplantae; Streptophyta; Magnoliopsida; Zingiberales; Zingiberaceae.